RNAcentral lists this ribosomal RNA (229 nucleotides) under uncultured bacterium. RNAcentral describes it as "partial 16S ribosomal RNA". It matches the Rfam family "Bacterial small subunit ribosomal RNA", at positions 568 to 796 of the family's 1533-position model. The record is from RNAcentral.
UGCGUAGGCGGUGUUAUAAGUCAGAGGUGAAAGGCCACCGCUUAACGGUGGGACUGCCUUUGAUACUGUAGUGCUUGAAUAAGGUUGAGGUUAGCGGAAUGUGACAUGUAGCGGUGAAAUGCAUAGAUAUGUCAUAGAACACCAAUUGCGAAGGCAGCUGGCUAGACCUUUAUUGACGCUGAGGCACGAAAGCGUGGGGAGCGAACAGGAUUAGAUACCCUGGUAGUCC